Molecule: unclassified non-coding RNA, 269 nt
Filed under: Hevea brasiliensis (rubber tree)
Lineage: Eukaryota; Viridiplantae; Streptophyta; Magnoliopsida; Malpighiales; Euphorbiaceae
Source: RNAcentral
ACUGAAGGCGGGGCCACGUAGUUGGCCCGGACGAUGACCCGAAGCCUCCCGGACACGAGGGAGAACGUCUCUCCCGCGCGCGCAGGCGCCGCAUCCCGCCCCGCGCUCUCAAGCGUCCCUGGCAACGCCCCUCAAGUGAGGCGGGAUGGCGAGAAGAUGGAUGAGGCUGAAAGGAAUGUCAAGGAAUAUUUUCCUAUGAAUGGAAGGNAUAUUUUCCUAGAAUACAGCUCGCCAAUCCCGGCUUGCAUCGUUCAAUACUUUCGGAUUUC